UUAGUUCUGUGGACUAUCUUCUUAUCAACAAAAAUACUGUUUCAACACUGCUUAAGAGAGCAAAAAUGGUGUGUGAUUCUCUCAACAGGAUAAAAAUAAGAUUCAGAAAACCAAAGCCUAAACGUAAUGGAAAAUCCUCCUCCAUUACCUAUGAAUUCUUGGGGCACAACUGAAACCUUUCAAGAACACAAACUGCUCUUCUUCAUUCUCCUCCCAGGAGGAAGGUACGCUGCCGGCCUGCUAUCUUACAGUGGGGACAGGAAUAAUAACACAGCGGCGGCCCUCUGCCUAAAUCAAGUGCGGUAGUUAAGGAGAAGAUCCUUGCCUUCAUGCUCCCCCUUUUGUCUCCAUGCGCUUCUCUUUCUGCUUCAGGGGUGCACACAGUACAACGAGUGGAGACAAGAACAGAGGUUUGGAGAGAGUGGGCAUCUGGGCUCGGGAGGUACAGGGGCAAGAGGCCGUUUAGUAACCUUCCUUUAGCAGUAAUACCCACGUACUCGGAGCAAUAAUGAGUAAAGUAAAGCUUCUCCUUAGCUACCACUCUUGAUUUAGGCAGAGGGCCGCCGCAGUGUCAACAUGUUGCUCAUCAUUCCCUUGGAUGUUGCUCCUAGUGGUCUCAAAGUAGUUGCUUGUUUUUCAAUUCCUGAUUUGGAGGUGAGUUUUGGUUGUAUAAAAACCAGAUGAACUGCCCAAUAGAGGCUCCUGUAGGCUGCCAAUGCACAUGCGGCUGCCAAAUGGUCAAUCACCUAUUUUGCACCACCCAGUAACAUUGUUUAUGCUUGAGUUGCUCCCUAACUCUUUUUACAUCUGAAUGUGGCUUACAGGUAAAAAAAAGGACCCCUGCAUUAAGGUAAUUAAAAAACAUUUAUAAAAGACAAAGGUUGAGUUGCCAUCACCAUGGAUUUAUUUCUUCUUACUUACAGAUAGAAAGCAAAUCAGUCACAAACCAAUUACUGCUUGUUUACACAAUGGGAAAUGGCAUUUCCAUAUUUUAUUGUUACACUGAUUUUGUUUACUAUAGACGGCAAACCGAAGGUGGAGUGCAGUGUGGUAACAGAGUUCACUGAUCAUAUCCGUGUGAGAAUGGAUGCAGAACUGAUCAUAUUCCUACAUGAUAUGGUGUUUACUUGAAGGAGAAAGAAAAAUGUACAUCCUCUGUGUUUCUGUUUGGUCCCACUGUUAAACGUUCAAAACGUUUUAACCCACUACAAGUGCCAAAAGUACUUUACAACUCGUCCAGGUCAGAAAAGCCCAGUCAUAGAGAUCCAUGAAAUCUCCUCUGUGCAAUACUUGAGCCCACCCUCAGGUAUUUAUUCAUCAUGUUUCACUUGCUUCUGUUAAUGCUUCAACAAUUCAAUCAAAUUUGGCCUGAGGAGCAAUAAUGUAAAAUUCAUAAGAGAUAGCAUUAUCCUGUGUAUGUGUUUAAUGGCAGCUGUUUUCUUAUUGUUAACAUUCUUUCACUAAUUGGUCAGUGUACCCCUCAAAAACACAGGCAUUCAUUGUGCACCCUGAAGCCGAGCAUAAUCAUCAUAGAAUCCAACAAAAAUAACCCAUUGAGUUUCUGAACUGAAAUCUGCUCAGUAUGCAUUGU
Xenopus laevis (African clawed frog) is the source of this 1591-nucleotide long non-coding RNA. RefSeq lists it as uncharacterized. The record is from RefSeq and is a predicted model, not a curated record. NCBI's taxonomy places the organism in Eukaryota, Metazoa, Chordata, Amphibia, Anura, Pipidae. The transcript has 4 exons.